GAUACUAGGGACUUGGCCCCGCGCAAGCGCGGGGUUGUUGACAAUAAUUAGCUUAUAUAAUUUUCAAUUGUAUUGUUCAUAUACACUCAUGAGAAGAAAAUACCAUAAGUUGAAAGAGAAGUGGAGGUGUGUGAAUGUAUUACUUAGUAGGGACUGUGUGUUCGUUUUACCUACUAUCUCAUAUGGAGAUGGUUUAAUAAUGGAUCUUGAUUUAUUUUCAGGAGAAAACAUCAAGACCGAUGAACCCAAGAAAGAAGAGUCUAAGUCUGCAGAAGUCACAGAGAACUGAUCAAAGGCUUUGGAAGUUGAAUAAGACAUUUCUAUUAAGUUGCAUAGCUUGGUUUCAUCAGAAGGAAAAUGAGAUCAGAGACAAUUGAAUUCAAUCCUAUACUGUUUUUUUUUUCAAAUUACAUUUUUCGUUCUUUUUUUUGUUGUCAAUCUCAUGAUAUCAAAUAUCCUAUUUAUGUUAUUUGAUUUGUUCAGAUACAUUUUACAUUUCCAAUAUACAGACCAAUCAGCUGCA
This is a long non-coding RNA of Brassica napus (rape), 523 nucleotides long. RefSeq lists it as uncharacterized. The transcript is spliced from 2 exons. The record is from RefSeq and is a predicted model, not a curated record. Lineage: Eukaryota; Viridiplantae; Streptophyta; Magnoliopsida; Brassicales; Brassicaceae.